This 844-nucleotide long non-coding RNA is filed under the name Marmota monax (woodchuck). The record is from RNAcentral. Lineage: Eukaryota; Metazoa; Chordata; Mammalia; Rodentia; Sciuridae.
UUGGGCCUCAGGAUUAGGGCUGUGACUAGCUGAUGGGGCUGUUCCUUGUAGGAGAGACCUGGCCCUUCUGCCGUCCUGGGCCGGCAGACACCGUGGCCAUGAUUCAGGAGACUCUGGAGGAGGUGUUAGUCCUGGGUAGGAGGUUUGGUGUCCUAGUACUUACAGGUCCUUCCAAAUCCUAAAUCACUGUGACUGUCUAUCUGCUCAGGCUGAGAUUGCACAAGAGGCCUGGGUCCUCUCAUGUCUGGAGGGCUCUGGGUAGACCAAUGAGCCCCCUCUUUCUUGUAUCUUCUGGACUCUUCUCUGUGUCCUGGAGAGACACCUUUGUCCCACUCCUCCUCCACCCAAACUCCAGGGUCUGACUUCUGUAUUUAAUUGUCCAAAUAGCACUUAUUCAGUUCCGUUCCGUUCCUUCUGUAGGCCAGGCUCUGUGGGUGCUAGGGACUUGGGAAGAGAGGGAGAAAGAAAAUAGCAAGUACUGUCACGGAGGAGUUCCCGGAGAGGAGGACCUCAACUCAGGACAGGUGGGGUCCUUGGCGUAUAUGGAUGGAAAAGGAUUUCAGCACAUGCUGAUCAGAGACACAGAGAUUUAUUUAAGUUACAGCUACACAUUCAAUGGGGGAAUUCAGGUUAUCUCAAGAGUGGGACAUCUUUUGGGAUAAAGCAAGUAACACAUUCCAGGGAGAAUGUAGGCCAUCUCCAGGGGAGAGAGAUAGCAACCCGUUGGUCUGGGGUGUAAAUAUUUGGAGAGUGAUGGUAGCUAGGGCCUAAACUAGAGGUGGAAUCAGGGGGGACUUACACAAUUUCAGCCAGUUUUCUCUAUGCUUGAGCAUUGCCUUUGAAU